This 119-nucleotide ribosomal RNA is filed under the name Solanum lycopersicum (tomato). Lineage: Eukaryota; Viridiplantae; Streptophyta; Magnoliopsida; Solanales; Solanaceae. The record is from RNAcentral.
GAAUGCGAUCAUACCUGCACUAACGCACCGGACCCUAUCAGAACUCCGAAGUUAAGCGUGUUUGGGCGAGAGUAGUACUAGGAUAGGUAACCCUCUGUUAAGUCCUCGUGUUGCAUAUC